GGGCUAUGGGCAUGUAGAUGGGACUGUGAGCAUGUAAAGGGGCUAUGGGCAGGUAGAGGUUGCUAUGGGCAGGCAUGUGUAGAGGGCGCUAUGGGCAUGUACAAGGGCUAUGGGCAGGUAGAUGGUGUUGUGGGCAUGUACAGGGUGCUAUGGGCAGGUAGAGGGGCUAUGGGCAUGUAGAUGGUGUUGUGGGCAUGUACAGGGUGCUAUGGGCAGG
Pelobates cultripes (western spadefoot toad) is the source of this 217-nucleotide non-coding RNA. The record is from the annotation of a GenBank genome assembly. NCBI's taxonomy places the organism in Eukaryota, Metazoa, Chordata, Amphibia, Anura, Pelobatidae.